This 69-nucleotide transfer RNA is filed under the name Parascardovia denticolens. It matches the Rfam family "tRNA". From Rfam's summary of the family: Transfer RNA (tRNA) molecules are approximately 80 nucleotides in length. Their secondary structure includes four short double-helical elements and three loops (D, anti-codon, and T loops). Lineage: Bacteria; Bacillati; Actinomycetota; Actinomycetes; Bifidobacteriales; Bifidobacteriaceae. The record is from RNAcentral. RNAcentral also lists the same sequence under 1 other name.
GUUUGUAGCUCAGUGGAUAGAGCGUCUGUCUCCGGAACAGAAGGUCGAGGGUUCGAAUCCCUUCAAGCC